RNAcentral lists this transfer RNA (72 nucleotides) under Cephalopholis boenak (chocolate hind). RNAcentral describes it as "tRNA-Ser". It matches the Rfam family "tRNA". Rfam says of the family: Transfer RNA (tRNA) molecules are approximately 80 nucleotides in length. Their secondary structure includes four short double-helical elements and three loops (D, anti-codon, and T loops). The record is from RNAcentral. Lineage: Eukaryota; Metazoa; Chordata; Actinopteri; Perciformes; Serranidae.
AAGAAAGUGACAGAACGGUUACUGUGGUUGACUUGAAAUCUACAUACGGGGGUUCGACUCCUCCCUUUCUCG